UCCUCGUUAGUAUAGUGGUAAGUAUCCCUGCUUGUCACACGGGAGACCAGGGUUUAAUCCCCAAUGGGGAG
Podarcis lilfordi (Lilford's wall lizard) is the source of this 71-nucleotide non-coding RNA. Lineage: Eukaryota; Metazoa; Chordata; Lepidosauria; Squamata; Lacertidae. The record is from the annotation of a GenBank genome assembly.